This 914-nucleotide ribosomal RNA is filed under the name uncultured Bacteroidota bacterium. Its description in RNAcentral is "bacterial SSU rRNA". It matches the Rfam family "Bacterial small subunit ribosomal RNA", at positions 8 to 916 of the family's 1533-position model. The record is from RNAcentral. Lineage: Bacteria; Pseudomonadati; Bacteroidota.
AGAGUUUGAUCCUGGCUCAGGAUGAACGCUAGCGGGAGGCUUAAUACAUGCAAGUCGAGCGGCAAGUUGGGGAUAGCAAUAUUUCUGACCUAGAGCGGCGCACGGGUGAGUAACGCGUACACGACCUACCCUAUACUGGGGAAUAGCCUUGGGAAACUGAGAUUAAUACCCCAUGGUAUUGUUGUACUGCCUGGUAUGACAAUUAAAGUUGAGGCGGUAUAGGAUGGGUGUGCGUCUGAUUAGCUAGUUGGUAGUGUAACGGACUACCAAGGCGAUGAUCAGUAGGGGGCGUGAGAGCGUGACCCCCCACACGGGUACUGAGACACGGACCCGACUCCUACGGGAGGCAGCAGUAAGGAAUAUUGGUCAAUGGAGGAAACUCUGAACCAGCCAUCCCGCGUGCAGGAAGAAGGGGCUCUGCCUUGUAAACUGCUUUUGCAUGGGACGAAAAAGCGAGAUUUAUCUUGAACUGACGGUACCAUGAGAAUAAGCACCGGCUAACUCCGUGCCAGCAGCCGCGGUAAUACGGAGGGUGCGAGCGUUAUCCGGAAUCACUGGGUUUAAAGGGUGCGUAGGCGGUUGUAUAAGUCAGUGGUGAAAGGCCAUAGCUUAACUAUGGGAUUGCCAUUGAUACUGUAUAACUUGAGAGAGGUUGAGGUUGGCGGAAUGUGGCAUGUAGCGGUGAAAUGCAUAGAUAUGCCAUAGAACAUCGAUUGCGAAGGCAGCUGACUGGACCUUAUCUGACGCUGAGGCACGAAAGCGUGGGGAGCGAACAGGAUUAGAUACCCUGGUAGUCCACGCCCUAAACGAUGCUUACUCGUUGUUUGGCCUUCGGGCUGAGUGACUAAGAGAAAUCGAUAAGUAAGCCACCUGGGGAGUACGACCGCAAGGUUGAAACUCAAAGGAAUUGACGG